RNAcentral lists this ribosomal RNA (1446 nucleotides) under Bacillus subtilis. Its description in RNAcentral is "bacterial SSU rRNA". It matches the Rfam family "Bacterial small subunit ribosomal RNA". The record is from RNAcentral. Lineage: Bacteria; Bacillati; Bacillota; Bacilli; Caryophanales; Bacillaceae.
GAGGCGGCAUCUAUACAUGCAGUCGAGCGGAAGAUGGGAGCUUGCUCCCUGAUGUUAGCGGCGGACGGGUGAGUAACACGUGGGUAACCUGCCUGUAAGACUGGGAUAACUCCGGGAAACCGGGGCUAAUACCGGAUGGUUGUUUGAACCGCAUGGUUCAAACAUAAAAGGUGGCUUCGGCUACCACUUACAGAUGGACCCGCGGCGCAUUAGCUAGUUGGUGAGGUAACGGCUCACCAAGGCAACGAUGCGUAGCCGACCUGAGAGGGUGAUCGGCCACACUGGGACUGAGACACGGCCCAAACUCCUACGGGAGGCAGCAGUAGGGAAUCUUCCGCAAUGGACAAAAGUCUGACGGAGCAACGCCGCGUGAGUGAUGAAGGUUUUCGGAUCGUAAAGCUCUGUUGUUAGGGAAGAACAAGUACCGUUCGAAUAGGGCGGUACCUUGACGGUACCUAACCAGAAAGCCACGGCUAACUACGUGCCAGCAGCCGCGGUAAUACGUAGGUGGCAAGCGUUGUCCGGAAUUAUUGGGCGUAAAGGGCUCGCAGGCGGUUUCUUAAGUCUGAUGUGAAAGCCCCCGGCUCAACCGGGGAGGGUCAUUGGAAACUGGGGAACUUGAGUGCAGAAGAGGAGAGUGGAAUUCCACGUGUAGCGGUGAAAUGCGUAGAGAUGUGGAGGAACACCAGUGGCGAAGGCGACUCUCUGGUCUGUAACUGACGCUGAGGAGCGAAAGCGUGGGGAGCGAACAGGAUUAGAUACCCUGGUAGUCCACGCCGUAAACGAUGAGUGCUAAGUGUUAGGGGGUUUCCGCCCCUUAGUGCUGCAGCUAACGCAUUAAGCACUCCGCCUGGGGAGUACGGUCGCAAGACUGAAACUCAAAGGAAUUGACGGGGGCCCGCACAAGCGGUGGAGCAUGUGGUUUAAUUCGAAGCAACGCGAAGAACCUUACCAGGUCUUGACAUCCUCUGACAAUCCUAGAGAUAGGACGUCCCCUUCGGGGGCAGAGUGACAGGUGGUGCAUGGUUGUCGUCAGCUCGUGUCGUGAGAUGUUGGGUUAAGUCCCGCAACGAGCGCAACCCUUGAUCUUAGUUGCCAGCAUUCAGUUGGGCACUCUAAGGUGACUGCCGGUGACAAACCGGAGGAAGGUGGGGAUGACGUCAAAUCAUCAUGCCCCUUAUGACCUGGGCUACACACGUGCUACAAUGGACAGAACAAAGGGCAGCGAAACCGCGAGGUUAAGCCAAUCCCACAAAUCUGUUCUCAGUUCGGAUCGCAGUCUGCAACUCGACUGCGUGAAGCUGGAAUCGCUAGUAAUCGCGGAUCAGCAUGCCGCGGUGAAUACGUUCCCGGGCCUUGUACACACCGCCCGUCACACCACGAGAGUUUGUAACACCCGAAGUCGGUGAGGUAACCUUUAGGAGCCAGCCGCCGAAGUGACUGAGG